RNAcentral lists this ribosomal RNA (253 nucleotides) under uncultured bacterium. RNAcentral's name for it is "partial 16S ribosomal RNA". It matches the Rfam family "Bacterial small subunit ribosomal RNA", at positions 524 to 776 of the family's 1533-position model. The record is from RNAcentral.
UACGUAGGGAGCAAGCGUUGUCCGGAAUCAUUGGGCGUAAAGCGCGCGUAGGUGGCUUCGUAAGUCCGUUGUGAAAGUCAAAGGCUCAACCUUUGAAAGCCGAUGGAUACUGCGGAGCUAGAGUACGGAAGAGGCGAGUGGAAUUCCUGGUGUAGCGGUGGAAUGCGCAGAUAUCAGGAGGAACACCAAUAGCGAAGGCAGCGCGCUGGGACGUUACUGACACUGAGGCGCGAAAGCGUGGGGAGCGAACAGG